AUCCCGUGGUGAGGACAUUGUCUAAGAAACUCCUUGAAUAUUUCCCAUGCAUCAAAUAGGGACUCAUCCUCUUCUUGUCUGAAUGAAGUGAUUUCAUUUCUCAUCUU
Small nucleolar RNA from Lathyrus oleraceus (garden pea), 107 nucleotides. The record is from RefSeq and is a predicted model, not a curated record. NCBI's taxonomy places the organism in Eukaryota, Viridiplantae, Streptophyta, Magnoliopsida, Fabales, Fabaceae.